Anaerolineae bacterium CG2_30_58_95 is the source of this 457-nucleotide non-coding RNA. The record is from Rfam. Lineage: Bacteria; Bacillati; Chloroflexota; Anaerolineae.
CAGGCUGGCCAGACGGUCGCGGUUCCGCGCGUAAGCGAGGGAUCGAGGAAAGUCCGCACUCCAUAGGGCACGGCGUCGGGUAACACCCGGGGCGGGGAAGUCCCCUUGUGGGACAACCUGCCGGAACAGGGCCACAGAAACAGACUGCCCGCAAGGGCGAGGGUGAAAAGGCGGUGUAAGAGACCACCGGCGUCCGCAGUAAUGCGGGCGGCCAGGCAACCCCCGCCGGGAGCAAGGCCAAGCAGGGACAAAGUCGCCUUCGGGCGGCGGGAGGCGGCUCGUCUCCCUCGAGUCCCGGGUAGGCCGCUAGAGCGGCGCGGCGACGCGUCGCCCAGAGAGAUGACCGUCCAGGCAGGCGGGCCGGGAUGAAACCCAUGCCCUGAGCUUCGGCGAAGGGUCGGGCGUAAACCGGAAUCCAAUUGCUGGACAGAAUGCGGCUUAUAGGCCAGCCUGAGGU